RNAcentral lists this unclassified non-coding RNA (216 nucleotides) under Hevea brasiliensis (rubber tree). Lineage: Eukaryota; Viridiplantae; Streptophyta; Magnoliopsida; Malpighiales; Euphorbiaceae. The record is from RNAcentral.
UGGAACUGUUAAACUCAGCUUAAUAUCCACUAACAAAAAGAAAUACACAGUUAUCCAUUGAUGAAUCUGGCUAUGACAAUUACAUUGUGACCCAAUUGAUAAAUCUGGCCACAGAGUGGCUCGAAGCAUAUACAGAUAUGCUACCCUCUAUCACUUCUGAUUCUAUUCACCUAGUCAAAUAAAUACACUCUAUGCGCAUUCCUAAUUGAACCACAA